This 444-nucleotide long non-coding RNA is filed under the name Capra hircus (goat). RNAcentral describes it as "lncRNA (ENSCHIG00000006967.1)". Lineage: Eukaryota; Metazoa; Chordata; Mammalia; Artiodactyla; Bovidae. The record is from RNAcentral.
CUGCCCUGCCGUGUUCAGCCAGCAAACAGAUCUUCUAGUGAGUCACCUGCUGAGUGUUUCUAUUUAUUCCUACUAAAGCCUCAAAGAUCAGCAUAAAACAAAGAUCAACUUCAAGGCGCAAGUGGUUUUCUGGCUCUGAGCUGGCACUGUUGUAGAGAGAGAACUUUUCCGUCUCCAUAAACCGAAAUUCUUCUCUUCUGUUCACUUCACUUGUGAAUAAUGACCUGAAGGUCAAAAGACAUGAAGAAACAACUGGAGCUCAGUGACUUGCAGAAAGCUUAAACCAGGCUUCAAAGUCAAGUGUAACAACUCCUCAACCAGUGCUCUUCCCAGGAUGAUCAGGUGCUCAGUCAAGUCUAUCGAACCAUACUCUUCCCAACUGAUAUGAAAUUGAGUGCAGUGACACAGAACCAUGAAGAACCUUUCAGAAUUAAUGAAGAGUGU